CCUACGGGGGGCAGCAGUGAGGAACAUUGGUCAAUGGACGAGAGUCUGAACCAGCCAAGUAGCGUGAAGGAUGACUGCCCUAUGGGUUGUAAACUUCUUUUAUAUGGGAAUAAAAUGUUCCACGUGUGGGAUUUUGUAUGUACCAUAUGAAUAAGGAUCGGCUAACUCCGUGCCAGCAGCCGCGGUAAUACGGAGGAUCCGAGCGUUAUCCGGAUUUAUUGGGUUUAAAGGGAGCGUAGGUGGAUUGUUAAGUCAGUUGUGAAAGUUUGCGGCUCAACCGUAAAAUUGCAGUUGAAACUGGCAGUCUUGAGUACAGUAGAGGUGGGCGGAAUUCGUGGUGUAGCGGUGAAAUGCUUAGAUAUCACGAAGAACUCCGAUUGCGAAGGCAGUUCACUGGACUGCAACUGACACUGAGGCUCGAAAGUGUGGGUAUCAAACAGGAUUAGAUACCCCUGUAGUC
RNAcentral lists this ribosomal RNA (460 nucleotides) under uncultured bacterium. RNAcentral describes it as "partial 16S ribosomal RNA". It matches the Rfam family "Bacterial small subunit ribosomal RNA", at positions 338 to 795 of the family's 1533-position model. The record is from RNAcentral.